RNAcentral lists this ribosomal RNA (372 nucleotides) under uncultured bacterium. Its description in RNAcentral is "bacterial SSU rRNA". It matches the Rfam family "Bacterial small subunit ribosomal RNA", at positions 524 to 898 of the family's 1533-position model. The record is from RNAcentral.
UACGGAGGGUGCAAGCGUUAUCCGGAUUUAUUGGGUUUAAAGGGUGCGUAGGCGGCCUGUUAAGUCAGUGGUGAAAGUCGGCAGCUCAACUGUCGAAUUGCCUUUGAUACUGGCAGGCUUGAAUGAAGUUGAAGAGGGCGGAAUGUGACAUGUAGCGGUGAAAUGCAUAGAUAUGUCACAGAACACCGAUUGCGAAGGCAGCUCUCUAAGCUUGUAUUGACGCUGAUGCACGAAAGCGUGGGGAUCAAACAGGAUUAGAUACCCUGGUAGUCCACGCCGUAAACGAUGAUCACUCGCUGUUGGCGAUACACAGUCAGCGGCCAAGCGAAAGCGAUAAGUGAUCCACCUGGGGAGUACGAUCGCAAGGUUGAA